This 304-nucleotide ribosomal RNA is filed under the name uncultured bacterium. RNAcentral describes it as "bacterial SSU rRNA". It matches the Rfam family "Bacterial small subunit ribosomal RNA", at positions 47 to 347 of the family's 1533-position model. The record is from RNAcentral.
CCUAACACAUGCAAGUCGAACGGUAACAGGAAACAGCUUGCUGUUUCGCUGACGAGUGGCGGACGGGUGAGUAAUGUCUGGGAAACUGCCUGAUGGAGGGGGAUAACUACUGGAAACGGUAGCUAAUACCGCAUAACGUCGCAAGACCAAAGAGGGGGACCUUCGGGCCUCUUGCCAUCAGAUGUGCCCAGAUGGGAUUAGCUAGUAGGUGGGGUAACGGCUCACCUAGGCGACGAUCCCUAGCUGGUCUGAGAGGAUGACCAGCCACACUGGAACUGAGACACGGUCCAGACUCCUACGGGAG